GAUGAACGCUGGCGGCGUGCCUAAUACAUGCAAGUCGAGCGAACGGACGAGAAGCUUGCUUCUCUGAUGUUAGCGGCGGACGGGUGAGUAACACGUGGAUAACCUACCUAUAAGACUGGGAUAACUUCGGGAAACCGGAGCUAAUACCGGAUGAUAUUUUGAACCGCAUGGUUCAAAAGCGAAAGACGGUCUUGCUGUCACUUAUAGAUGGAUCCGCGCUGCAUUAGCUAGUUGGUAAGGUAACGGCUUACCAAGGCAACGAUGCAUAGCCGACCUGAGAGGGUGAUCGGCCACACUGGAACUGGGACACGGUCCAGAGUCCUACGGGAGGCAGCAGUAGGGAAUCUUCCGCAAUGGGCGAAAGCCUGACGGAGCAACGCCGCGUGAGAGAUGAAGGCCUUCGGAUCGUAAAACUCUGUUAUUAGGGAAGAACAGAUGUGUAAGUAACUGUGCACAUCUUGACGGUACCUAAUCAGAAAGCCACGGCUAACUACGUG
Molecule: ribosomal RNA, 497 nt
Filed under: uncultured bacterium
Lineage: Bacteria
Description: partial 16S ribosomal RNA
Rfam family: Bacterial small subunit ribosomal RNA
Source: RNAcentral